AUUGAACGCUGGCGGCAGGCCUAACACAUGCAAGUCGAACGGUAACAGGAAACAGCUUGCUGUUUCGCUGACGAGUGGCGGGCGUGUGAGUAAUGUCUGGGAAACUGCCUGAUGGAGGGGGAUAACUACUGGAAACGGUAGCUAAUACCGCAUAACGUCGCAAGACCAAAGAGGGGGACCUUCGGGCCUCUUGCCAUCGGAUGUGCCCCGAUGGGAUUAGCUAGCAGGUGGGGUAACGGCUCACCUAGGCGACGAUCCCUAGCUGGUCUGAGAGGAUGACCAGCCACACUGGAACUGAGACACGGUCCAGACUCCUACGGGAGGCAGCAGUGGGGAAUAUUGCACAAUGGGCGCAAGCCUGAUGCAGCCAUGCCGCGUGUAUGAAGAAGGCCUUCGGGUUGUAAAGUACUUUCAGCGGGGAGGAAAGGAGUAAAGUUAAUACCUUUGCUCAUUGACGUUACCCGCAGAAGAAGCACCGGCUAACUCCGUG
Molecule: ribosomal RNA, 490 nt
Filed under: uncultured bacterium
Lineage: Bacteria
Description: partial 16S ribosomal RNA
Rfam family: Bacterial small subunit ribosomal RNA
Source: RNAcentral